GCUGGUCAAGGUGCUUAUAUGAUAAUGCUUUGUAAUUUUUUUAUAUAUGAUACUACUAUUUAGAUAUUAGAUACCAGAAGUCCAGUUUACAUAUGUAAUUCAUUACAAAGACUUCAAGUUAGUAGAAAAUUUGAGAACGAUGAGAGAUUCCUAAAUAUGGAAGAUGAAAGUCAAGUUUUAAUCUUGGCCUUAGGAGUCGUCGAGCUUGUUUUUAAGCCUAAUAGUGUCAUUUUAAGUGAUUGUUACUAUUGUCUAUCUU
Molecule: long non-coding RNA, 259 nt
Filed under: Elaeis guineensis (African oil palm)
Lineage: Eukaryota; Viridiplantae; Streptophyta; Magnoliopsida; Arecales; Arecaceae
Description: long non-coding RNA (EGUI_LNC076215)
Source: RNAcentral